UGUAGAUCUUAUUUUGCUGAUAUGUUUUGCUUUUAAAGUCUCUCUCUCUCUCUCUCUCUGAUUAUAUGAGUGAAUUUUUCAAGUCCAGUGACCAUAACAUGCACAAAAUUAUCAGGCCGAAACAAAACUUUUAACUUGACGUGUAACUCAUGAUAAAACUAUAUACCAAUUAUCAAUCAAUAUCUUCAAGCAUGAGAAAAAAAAAUGUGGAAAAC
This 215-nucleotide long non-coding RNA is filed under the name Mytilus galloprovincialis (Mediterranean mussel). Lineage: Eukaryota; Metazoa; Mollusca; Bivalvia; Mytilida; Mytilidae. The record is from RNAcentral.